UACGUAGGGGGCAAGCGUUGUCCGGAUUUAUUGGGCGUAAAGAGCGUGUAGGCGGCCAUGUAGGUCCGUUGUGAAAACUCGAGGCUCAACCUCGAGACGCCGAUGGAAACCAUGUGGCUAGAGUCCGGAAGAGGAGAGUGGAAUUCCGUGGUGUAGCGGUGAAAUGCGCAGAUAUCAGGAAGAACACCCGUGGCGAAGGCGGCUCUCUGGGACGGUACUGACGCUGAGACGCGAAAGCGUGGGGAG
This 246-nucleotide ribosomal RNA is filed under the name uncultured bacterium. RNAcentral describes it as "partial 16S ribosomal RNA". It matches the Rfam family "Bacterial small subunit ribosomal RNA", at positions 524 to 768 of the family's 1533-position model. The record is from RNAcentral.